GAAGAGUUCUACUCUAUCUGAACUUUUUUCAAUUUGAAGGAGGAUCGGAUCUGUUGUAGAGAUUAGCUCAGCGACAGAUGAGCUAUGAUAGAUCAUCUAUGAUCGAGGUACUGGAAUCCAUGGAGUAGGUGCUUGUCCUCUUACUGGCUGAAAUAGGUCGGUUAUGUAUGAGCUAUUGUAGGUCAUCGAAAAUUGAGGUU
This 200-nucleotide long non-coding RNA is filed under the name Elaeis guineensis (African oil palm). RNAcentral's name for it is "long non-coding RNA (EGUI_LNC002907)". The record is from RNAcentral. Lineage: Eukaryota; Viridiplantae; Streptophyta; Magnoliopsida; Arecales; Arecaceae.